Molecule: transfer RNA, 77 nt
Filed under: Cytophagia bacterium
Lineage: Bacteria; Pseudomonadati; Bacteroidota; Cytophagia
Description: tRNA-Val
Rfam family: tRNA
About the family: Transfer RNA (tRNA) molecules are approximately 80 nucleotides in length. Their secondary structure includes four short double-helical elements and three loops (D, anti-codon, and T loops).
Source: RNAcentral
GCUGGGGUAGCUCAGUGGUUAGUAGCAACUCGUUUACACCGAGUAGGUCGGGGGUUCGAAUCCCUCCCUCAGCACCA